RNAcentral lists this transfer RNA (97 nucleotides) under Polyangium jinanense. RNAcentral describes it as "tRNA-Ser". Lineage: Bacteria; Pseudomonadati; Myxococcota; Polyangiales; Polyangiaceae. The record is from RNAcentral.
GGGGGAGGGCUGGAUGUGGCAUCGCGGAGGAGCCGAGCGGGUUUUGAAAACCGCCGUACCCGGAAGGGUACCAGGGGUUCGAAUCCCUUCUCCUCCG